This 76-nucleotide transfer RNA is filed under the name Planctomycetota bacterium. RNAcentral describes it as "Planctomycetes bacterium tRNA-Asn". It matches the Rfam family "tRNA". Rfam says of the family: Transfer RNA (tRNA) molecules are approximately 80 nucleotides in length. Their secondary structure includes four short double-helical elements and three loops (D, anti-codon, and T loops). Further hydrogen bonds mediate the characteristic L-shaped molecular structure. tRNAs have two regions of fundamental functional importance: the anti-codon, which is responsible for specific mRNA codon recognition, and the 3' end, to which the tRNAs corresponding amino acid is attached (by aminoacyl-tRNA synthetases). tRNAs cope with the degeneracy of the genetic code in two manners: having more than one tRNA (with a specific anti-codon) for a particular amino acid; and 'wobble' base-pairing, i.e. permitting non-standard base-pairing at the 3rd anti-codon position. The record is from RNAcentral. Lineage: Bacteria; Pseudomonadati; Planctomycetota.
UCCCCGAUAGCUCAGUUGGUAGAGCGAGCGGCUGUUAACCGCUAGGUCCAAGGUUCGAGUCCUUGUCGGGGAGCUA